CAGCAGUAGGGAAUCUUCCGCAAUGGACGAAAGUCUGACGGAGCAACGCCGCGUGAGUGAUGAAGGUUUUCGGAUCGUAAAGCUCUGUUGUUAGGGAAGAACAAGUGCCGUUCAAAUAGGGCGGCACCUUGACGGUACCUAACCAGAAAGCCACGGCUAACUACGUGCCAGCAGCCGCGGUAAUACGUAGGUGGCAAGCGUUGUCCGGAAUUAUUGGGCGUAAAGGGCUCGCAGGCGGUUUCUUAAGUCUGAUGUGAAAGCCCCCGGCUCAACCGGGGAGGGUCAUUGGAAACUGGGGAACUUGAGUGCAGAAGAGGAGAGUGGAAUUCCACGUGUAGCGGUGAAAUGCGUAGAGAUGUGGAGGAACACCAGUGGCGAAGGCGACUCUCUGGUCUGUAACUGACGCUGAGGAGCGAAAGCGUGGGGAGCGAACAGGAUUAGAUACCCUGGUAGUCCACGCCGUAAACGAUGAGUGCUAAGUGUUAGGGGGUUUCCGCCCCUUAGUGCUGCAGCUAACGCAUUAAGCACUCCGCCUGGGGAGUACGGUCGCAAGACUGAAACUC
This 563-nucleotide ribosomal RNA is filed under the name uncultured Bacillus sp. RNAcentral's name for it is "bacterial SSU rRNA". It matches the Rfam family "Bacterial small subunit ribosomal RNA", at positions 349 to 902 of the family's 1533-position model. Lineage: Bacteria; Bacillati; Bacillota; Bacilli; Caryophanales; Bacillaceae. The record is from RNAcentral.